CUCUGAUUGCAGUAUAGUUACUUAGCUCAAAGAAAAGCACAUUGGAAAACUUGCUGAGCUCCCAGAACAUCAUAGUGAUAUGUUCUAUCCAACCUUGGUAAGUAAGUAAAUGGGCAUGACAGUUGCACAAUAUGAGCCAAGCAAUGGGUUCAGGCACAGCACUUUCUCUACCGAGCCAUUAUCCAUCAGUGCAUUAGCAUCUGCCGGCUGCAGCAUGGAAUCCAUUAGGUAACAAUAAAACAUCUGUAACAUAAAUAUAAAUAUAUAUAUAUUGUUUGCUGGUUUCUUUGUUAAUGGAAGCAGUGAAUGGAUCCUUCUUAGCAAGCGUUACCAUGAGGCUCAAGAUGAGCUGGAGUGGCAGGACAAAGUUUUAAAGACGUCUGAAAAGGCAACUCUCAAACAAAGUUGGGAAUGGAGGAGUUUGGAAAGUAGAAGAAGAAAAAUGACAGUGUGGUCUGAAGUGGAUCAGGCAAGGCAAGGCUGAGGGUCAGGAGGGAGUUGGUAGAGCAGGGUGUUCUAGAGGACCUUUGGGAAGGGCAGGGGGUUCUCGAGAGGACCUUUGGGAAGGGCAGGGGGUUCUAGAGGACCUUUGGGAAAGGCAGGGGGUUCUCCAGAGAAACUUUGGGAAGGGCAGGGGGUUCUGGACAACCUUUGGGAAGGGCAGGGCAUACUAGAGGCGCUUUGGGAAGGGCAGGGGUUGUAGAGGAGCUUUGGGAAGGGCAGGAGGGUUCUAGAGAAGCCUUGGGAAGGGUAGGGGGUUCUAGAAAAGCUUUAGGAAGGGCAGCUUGGGGGAGAAGAGAUUGGUGAGGAGAAGAUGUUGGUACAGGCAGAGAUGGACAGAAUACUCUAUCAGGAUCUAGAUAAACAGCAAGCCAAUCUAGUCUGGACUUUAUUAUUCUGCUUCUUUCCUAGGAAAACAAAUGCUGCCACCUGCUGUCAAACAUACUGCAUCGGCAAAGUUAGAAGCAAUCAAAGUGCUGUAUAUCCAUGUAUGUCCAUGAGGAUAUUAGAUGAAACGCUUCAUCCAUCGUAAUGAAAGAGCCAAGAACCUCAACCUGUUAGAAAACUAGUAAAAUAUACAGAUUCUUUUUGUAAA
Long non-coding RNA from Xenopus laevis (African clawed frog), 1096 nucleotides. RefSeq lists it as uncharacterized. The transcript has 2 exons. Lineage: Eukaryota; Metazoa; Chordata; Amphibia; Anura; Pipidae. The record is from RefSeq and is a predicted model, not a curated record.